ACAAUCAGCUGCGGCGUUGUGCGAUCAAAACAAAAGCAACAGUUAUAAAAAUAAACAUUUGAAAAAAACGCAAUGAUAAGAUUAUAAAUCUUAAGUAGCCCACAAUUUACGAUUCCCCCACCACUGUUAAAAAUUCCUAGUCACGGUUAAACAGUGUAUUAAACUCUAAAUAGGCUAUCAAUUGAUUACUCCUUGGGCAACUUGUCAAGAUCAAUGCCGUCAUCAAUGGACACCCCUGUCGCCUGGCUCAGCUCCAGCAUUUCCUUAACCUGACAGUUGCAAGGCGAACAUCUCCUCGGGCGAGAUGUCCAAGGGAUCCACCAAACUCAUGAGGAAACUGGCCGAUAUGGAUAAGCUGUACGGCAGGAAACGCACGUACUCCUUCAGAAGCUCACCGCGACUAAGAAAUAGCGAAAUCCGGAACCUCCUCCUUGGCGUGCUCCCUAUAGCUAUUAUGAAGCGCCAAGGUGUAUUCACAGAAGAUGGCCUCGAAGUUUGGAUCGCGUACCUCGGCAAAAAUGGACACGGCUAGAAAGACGUUGAGAUCGACCAUGGGAGAGGAGACUCGCAAUGUCUGGUAGUCGAACAUCAUGAUCUCCUGCGGCUCCUCCUUGUCAUCGUACCUGUACGCCACAUUAUUCCUCACAUAAUCGCCGUGGCACAGGGUGGCCAGUGGCUCCCUGGGCGCCACCCGUUGCCUACCGUAUUGCGAAUAGUCCGAGAUCAUGAAACAGAACUUCUUAACAAACUCCUCGUCGAUCUGUGGCUGAUAGGUGGCCACCGCCUUGGCCGCUCGAUCGAUGCUCGUUUUCAUGGUGAGCUUCCAUUCCGGAUGAAUGUUAUCGUUGGCAUAGCGAGAUUCCUUCAGAUUGUCAGUCAGCUGGGCAAACUUUUCCGGGUUCUUGUGCUUCAUGGCGUACGCAAAGCCAUGGAACCUUCCCAGGUAACUCACGGCAAUCAUGGCGUGCUGCAGACUCAGACCCACACGAUCCUUGGUGACCCGCCAUCCCUGCUCCGCGAAAUUCUCCAGAAUGGCCACAGCCGAAUGCUGGUUCAACUCGCCGUAAUAGUACUUGGGUGCGGCAAACUUGCCAUCGGUGAACUUCUGAAACUCUGGCAGAAUUUCCGUAUAGAAAUUUAUCUCGUUGGUAAAAAGGGGCCCAAACUGUAUGGAUUCAUACAUUUCUGGUGGCAUAGCAGGUGUUUUCUACAAAAAAAAAAAAAAACAAUUAAUUAUUGGUAUUCUGGGGUCAUUGCAUGCCAAAGUAAACUUCAUCAUUAGAUGUGAUUUAUUUUGAAUUCAAAAUCAAUUCGCUUUGUUCUUUUGUUGAGAUGCCUCCCUCUAUUUCACAAUGUUUGCCAUAAAACCCACACUCUCACUAAGCUAUCUGAGUUUGCUGGAAAACAAAACUGUUCGACUAUCGACCAACUAC
This is a non-coding RNA of Drosophila melanogaster (fruit fly), 1433 nucleotides long. NCBI's taxonomy places the organism in Eukaryota, Metazoa, Arthropoda, Insecta, Diptera, Drosophilidae. The record is from Ensembl.